CUUGGGCUAAUUUGGGGCAAGGCGACUCCAAGCUCUAUGUUGGGAGUCCGUAUGAGUAUACACCAGAAUCAUUAGCCACUUAGAUUCAGAGCAGUUUCAACUCCAAGAUAAGAUCAAUAGAGAUCUUAGGAAUCAUCGAAGAGUCUAUACUACUUAGAAUCGAAAAGGCCAAACCAUAAUUGAUAAUCCUUCGAAAUAUAAGCUCGACCAAAAAAUAAAAAUAAAAAAAAUAAAAAAAAUCAUCAUGAUGAAAAUUGAUUUAAUGUAGAAUGUCCCGUGGAGCAAUAUACAAGCCAAUCACCAAAUUCAGGCUACACAUUGGUGUUAUGAUUGCUUCAUUACAAAUGGUGACAUCCCAUUGUCUCGUAUGCGGACUUUUUCCAUAUUGGAAACAAAAGAUUUCGAAAAACACACACUUUGCUCCACACACAAAAAAACCAAGAUCUUCGGUACCUCUUCGUUAUUGUGUGUUUUUUGCACAAUUCUUAGAUAUAUCCUCAGCCAGCUUUCCUUAGUAGACAGAAGUACAGAUUCUCCCAAGUCUAUAGCUCGAAUAUGUACAGUAGAAGGGAAUGAGUGAGAAAACAGUAGCUAAUAGUGCACCUUCUCGUCAUUACCUAAGUUGAGGCUCUUUAUACCCUUGAGAUUGGAUUUGAAGUCCUUUAUAGUUCUGGUAGAAGAUGCGAGUUUUUGAUCCAAUGAGACUAGUGGUGAGAUUUGCCGAAGUGUUCCUGGGCUUGCAAUAUUCUCGGAAGCCAACAGAUCACGACUACUAGAGAUGGCAGGUCGCCUUGAAGAUCCAAUGUUAGAACUAGAUAUCUACAAAAAGCAUUAGCCAGUGUAACAUGAACUUAUGAACAAAAUAAGCAUAAUCUCAGUGAAAACCGAGCAAUUAUCAAACAAACAUGGAGCCAGUCAGAACCAGUGAAGAUUUCACAUUUCGAUUCACAAUCUACGGGCUAACCCCUUCAAAUCUCUAAAAUGGGACCUCUUUGAGAAACUUAGAAAUUUUAACAAAAUCAAAGACUCUGGGCCUUUUUCCAGUUAAAUCCCUUUUCACUUUCUUCAAUCGAGCAUUGCAAGAAUUUAUCAUUCAUUUGUAACAUGCUAUGAGUCAGCUGAUAAUGCUCCAUUUCAGUAGACGACAUGGCAUACACUCGCGGACUUCAAAGUAGAAAAAGAAUGGCAUGGACCUAGGAUGCACCGACACCCUUCGUGUCGAGAAGUGUUGGACUUUAACACGUGUUGAAUACUCUAGGUAGUGAGUUCAAUUUUUUUAGAUCUAUACGGUUAGGCACAUUUCCGAUGCAUUGCAAACAUGCCGGAACAUACAUUGUCUUGGACACCGAUAGGUGACGUGUCCAUAUUAUUUUUAGAUUUUCUACAAUUGGAUACAUUACUGACAUAAUAAAACAUACAUUCUCGAUGCUUUUUGAAUAUACCAACGACAUGCUCGAAUUAAAGAAAAAUAAAUAUUUAGUUUACAAUGUAAAAAUAAAAAAAUGAAAAAUAAUAUAAUUAAUAUUAUUGUAAUUUGACUAUCGGGGACGUGACAAUAUUUUUCCUUUAUUUUUUUUUUUAAAUUACAUUCCAUGUUGUGUGCAAUACAUGUCCAAGUCACUUCCAACACUUGUGUCCAUGUCGUUGCUUUCUAGACAUCAACCAUUUCCCUUGUUUGUUUGGGUAAGAUUUUUCUUGGGGAAAAAUAUUUUUGUUUUAGGACAAUAUGUAGUUAUAAAAUAGGGAAAAGAUGUUGGACCACGUGACAAAUGAUUUUUUCUUAUUUUAAGAAUGUGAGCUUGAAAAUUGGUUUGGAGAAAAGUGAUUUUUGAAAAAUUUACCCCCAUACAAACUCCAAAUAAGCUAAAUUUCCAAAUUGCUCAUAAUAACUUAAAAAAGGUGUUACUUGAAU
Molecule: long non-coding RNA, 1912 nt
Filed under: Olea europaea subsp. europaea
Lineage: Eukaryota; Viridiplantae; Streptophyta; Magnoliopsida; Lamiales; Oleaceae
Source: RNAcentral